UUCAUAAGCCCUGUUGACGGUAGGUGCACUUGAUUCAGAAGCCCUGUUGACGGUAGGUGCACUUGAUUCAGAAGCCCUGUUGACGGUAGGUGCACUUGAUUCAGAAGCCCUGUUGACGGUAGGUGCACUUGAUUCAGAAGCCCUGUUGACGGUAGGUGCACUUGAUUCAGAAGCCCUGUUGACGGUAGGUGCACUUGAUUCAGAAGCCCUGUUGACGGUAGGUGCACUUGAUUCAGAAGCCCUGUUGACGGUAGGUGCACUUGAUUCAGAAGUCCUGUUGACGGUAGGUGCACUUGAUUCAGAAGCCCUGUUGACGGUAGGUGCACUUGAUUCAGAAGCCCUGUUGACGGUAGGUGCACUUGAUUCAGAAGUCCUGUUGACGGUAGGUGCACUUGAUUCAGAAGUCCUGUUGACGGUAGGUGCACUUGAUUCAGAAGCCCUGUUGACGGUAGGUGCACUUGAUUCAGAAGUCCUGUUGACGGUAGGUGCACUUGAUUCAGAAGUCCUGUUGACGGUAGGUGCACUUGAUUCAGAAGCCCUGUUGACGGUAGGUGCACUUGAUUCAGAAGUCCUGUUGACGGUAGGUGCACUUGAUUCAGAAGCCCUGUUGACGGUAGGUGCACUUGAUUCAGAAGCCCUGUUGACGGUAGGUGCACUUGAUUCAGAAGCCCUGUUGACGGUAGGUGCACUUGAUUCAGAAGUCCUGUUGACGGUAGGUGCACUUGAUUCAGAAGUCCUGUUGACGGUAGGUGCACUUGAUUCAGAAGCCCUGUUGACGGUAGGUGCACUUGAUUCAGAAGUCCUGUUGACGGUAGGUGCACUUGAUUCAGAAGCCCUGUUGACGGUAGGUGCACUUGAUUCAGAAGCUCUGUUGACGGUAGGUCUGUAGCUAAAUUGAGUGCCGCUGGCCAAUCGGAUAGCUCAAAUCACUGUGUGAUACUAGCCUACAGCUUCCACGAUCCCUGCCACAGCAAGGUUUGAUACUAGCCUACAGCUUCCACGAUCUCGGCCACAGCAAGGUUUGAUACUAGCCUACAGCUUCCACGAUCCCUGCCACAGCAAAGUUUGAUACUAGCCUACAGCUUCCACGAUCCCUGCCACAGCAAGGUUUGAUACUAGCCUAAAGCUUCCACGAUCCCUGCCACAGCAAGGUUUGAUACUAGCCUACAGCUUCCACGAUCCCGGCCACAGCAAGGUUUGAUACUAGCCUACAGCUUCCACGAUCCCUGCCACAGCAAGGUUUGAUACUAGCCUACAUAAGAUCUCAUAACUUUUAAACCAUGAUCAGAGAACGGACUACAGCAAAGAGCUGCUGUUUUUAUGAGUGAAUUCAUGUUUAAGUUUUUAUUCACUACUGUCAACACUGUUUUAAUUCAUUACUGUCAACACUGUUUUUAUUCACUACUGUCAACACUGUUUAUAUUCAUUACUGUCAACAC
Long non-coding RNA from Oncorhynchus keta (chum salmon), 1439 nucleotides. RefSeq lists it as uncharacterized. The transcript has 3 exons. NCBI's taxonomy places the organism in Eukaryota, Metazoa, Chordata, Actinopteri, Salmoniformes, Salmonidae. The record is from RefSeq and is a predicted model, not a curated record.